Molecule: ribosomal RNA, 484 nt
Filed under: uncultured bacterium
Lineage: Bacteria
Description: partial 16S ribosomal RNA
Rfam family: Bacterial small subunit ribosomal RNA
Source: RNAcentral
AUUGAACGCUGGCGGCAGGCCUAACACAUGCAAGCCGAGCGGACGAAGGGAGCUUGCUCCCGGAUUCAGCGGCGGACGGGUGUGUAAUGCCUAGGAAUCUGCCUGGUAGUGGGGGAUAACGUCCGGAAACGGGCGCUAAUACCGCAUACGCCCUGAGGGAGAAAGAGGGGGAUCCUCGGACCUCACGCUAUCAGAUGAGACUAGGUCGGAUUAGCUAGUUGGUGGGGUAAAGGCCUACAAAGGCGACGAUCCGUAACUGGUCUGGGAGGAUGAUCAGUCACACUGGAACUGAGACACGGUCCAGACUCCUACGGGAGGCAGCAGUGGGGAAUAUUGGACGAUGGGCGAAAGCCUGAUCCAGCCAUGCCGCGUGUGUGAAGAAGGUCUUCGGAUUGUAAAGCACUUUAAGGUGGGAGGAAGGGCAGUAAGUUAAUACCUUGCUGUUUGGACGUUACCAACAGAAUAAGCACCGGCUAACUUCGUG